GUCUAUGGCCAUACCACCCUGAAUGUGCAUGAUCUCGUCUAAUCUCAGAAGCUAAGCAGAGUCAGACCUGGUGAAUCAGGGUUGGGCCUAAUUAUACUUGGAUGGGAGAAAUG
Molecule: ribosomal RNA, 113 nt
Filed under: Propithecus coquereli (Coquerel's sifaka)
Lineage: Eukaryota; Metazoa; Chordata; Mammalia; Primates; Indriidae
Source: RNAcentral